UUCAAUCUCGAAAACUAAAAAGAUUAAAUAUACUACCUAGAUGCGUAUAGCGCCGCUCAACUCGCCUUCGAUGGUCGGAGUCUAAUCAACCAUCAGAGAACAUCAACAGACUUGUAUAAACACGUAGAUCACAUAUCUGAUGUCUGAUUCUUCAUUUAAGUCGCUGAUCACUCAUAAAGCAUCCAAACAAUCUCGAUUGUUCAAUUUUUACGGAAGUCUGACCAUUGUGAAGUUGGUCAUUUGAAAGCUUGUGAUGAGUAGAACUCAUCCAUGUGUUCUGAUCAACCCAACAUCGUCAGAGGUGGUGGGAAAAUUGCAUAUCCGAAUGGUGCACAUUUUCUCUCUCCACUAAGAAACAUAAAUUCUGAUCACCUUUUUUUAACAUCUCCACUGUAGGUUUGAAGCCCAUGUUGAGACGGAUCAUUUGCCAUCGGUUCCAGUCGCUGACAUCGCCGAAGAAGGGAGAUUCAACGAUUCAAAAUUUUGGUGACCAAAAAUUUACCUUCUCUGUUCGUCGUCUACAGUCGUUGUCUACCAUUGUCGCUGCUACUGCUGAGUUCGUCGUCAUCCUGUCUCCUUCCGCCUGACCUCGCUGCUCCUACCUCCACCUCUAUCCUCAUCUACCAUUAAUAGUAGCCAUGAACUUUCUCUCUCCUUCACUCUUUUUUUGAUUUCUUUUCCCUUUUUCCAUUCUAGAUCCUUUUUUUUUUUUUUCUUUAAUCCCGGUAAAUAUUUGUUAGGCCCUAAACUUGUGUUAAUCCUUUUAGUUAUAC
RNAcentral lists this long non-coding RNA (773 nucleotides) under Ricinus communis (castor bean). Its description in RNAcentral is "long non-coding RNA (RCOM_LNC002016)". Lineage: Eukaryota; Viridiplantae; Streptophyta; Magnoliopsida; Malpighiales; Euphorbiaceae. The record is from RNAcentral.